Long non-coding RNA from Zingiber officinale, 193 nucleotides. RefSeq lists it as uncharacterized. The record is from RefSeq and is a predicted model, not a curated record. Lineage: Eukaryota; Viridiplantae; Streptophyta; Magnoliopsida; Zingiberales; Zingiberaceae. The transcript is spliced from 2 exons.
GCAGAUUAGUACCAUCUCUGACCUACUAUACCUAGCCUAGGAUAUGGUUUUAGGUAGCAGUAGAUGAUUCAUGGAUGCUUGGAGAGAUGUCGGAUGUCAAUCCUGGGUCCUGCGUCUUAUCGAUUUUAUUUCCGCUUUACUUGUAUUUUUGGCAUACAGCGAUUUUUAGUAUUGUAUGAACUGUUCUGUGUUU